AAAGAGAGUGCCUCUAAGAGAAAGGCCUGUUUCAGUAUAUACUGAAGAUGGAUGAGAGGCUGUGAGAGAAUGGGGUACCGAGGAAAAGAAGAGGAACAGAAGAGUGAUUCCUUGAACUGUGGUUUACAUGUGGCUGAAGAUACACAAGCCCAUUCUGAAGAUCAUUUUUCCUUUGAAGUUUCAUAAGUUUGAUCUUGAUGCAACAUUCUGCUUCACUUCCUGCUGUGGAGUGCAACGAGCAUUUGUCUCUGCAGUACAAGACCUUCUGCUUCCCACAAUGAAGAUAGCUGGACGAUUCUUACGAUAGUAUGUUUCAGGAUUAAAUGCAGCUACCUCUACAAGAUCACGUAUCUGCCUAUGUAUGUCAUUUAUCUUCUUCAUCUAUG
This is a long non-coding RNA of Numida meleagris (helmeted guineafowl), 386 nucleotides long. RefSeq lists it as uncharacterized. The record is from RefSeq and is a predicted model, not a curated record. Lineage: Eukaryota; Metazoa; Chordata; Aves; Galliformes; Numididae. The transcript has 3 exons.